This 275-nucleotide ribosomal RNA is filed under the name uncultured bacterium. Its description in RNAcentral is "partial 16S ribosomal RNA". It matches the Rfam family "Bacterial small subunit ribosomal RNA", at positions 399 to 691 of the family's 1533-position model. The record is from RNAcentral.
GCGUGGGUGAAGAAGGCCUUAGGGUUGUAAACCCCUUUCAGCGGGGAAGAUAAUGACGGUACCCGCAGAAGAAGCCCCGGCUAACUCCGUGCCAGCAGCCGCGGUAAUACGGAGGGGGCUAGCGUUGUUCGGAAUUACUGGGCGUAAAGCGCGCGUAGGCGGAUUCGCAAGUCAGGGGUGAAAUCCCGAGGCUCAACCUCGGAACUGCCUUUGAUACUGCGAAUCUUGAGUCCGAGAGAGGUGAGUGGAAUUCCUAGUGUAGAGGUGAAAUUCGU